Molecule: ribosomal RNA, 254 nt
Filed under: uncultured bacterium
Lineage: Bacteria
Description: partial 16S ribosomal RNA
Rfam family: Bacterial small subunit ribosomal RNA
Source: RNAcentral
UACGGGGGGAGCAAGCGUUGUUCGGAUUUACUGGGCGUAAAGGGCGCGUAGGCGGCCAGCGCAAGUCAGUUGUGAAAUCUCCGGGCUUAACUCGGAACGGUCAACUGAUACUGCGCGGCUAGAGUGCAGAAGGGGCAACUGGAAUUUCCGGUGGAGCGGUGAAAUGCGUAGAGAUCGGAAAGAACACCAACGGCGAAAGCACUCUGCUGGGCCGACACUGACACUGAGAGACGAAAGCUAGGGGAGCGAAUGGG